This 518-nucleotide ribosomal RNA is filed under the name uncultured bacterium. Its description in RNAcentral is "bacterial SSU rRNA". It matches the Rfam family "Bacterial small subunit ribosomal RNA", at positions 27 to 518 of the family's 1533-position model. The record is from RNAcentral.
GGACGAACGCUGGCGGCGUGCCUAAUACAUGCAAGUCGAACGGUCUUUCUAUGGAAGCUUGCUUCCACUGAGAAGAUAGUGGCGAACGGGUGAGUAACACGUGGGUAACCUGCCCAUAAGAGGGGGAUAACAUCCGGAAACGGGUGCUAAUACCGCAUAGUUUUCUUGAUCGCAUGAUUGAGAAAGGAAAGACGGCCUUUGUGCUGUCGCUUAUGGAUGGACCCGCGGCGUAUUAGUUAGUUGGUGAGGUAACGGCUCACCAAGACGAUGAUACGUAGCCGACCUGAGAGGGUGAUCGGCCACAUUGGGACUGAGACACGGCCCAAACUCCUACGGGAGGCAGCAGUAGGGAAUCUUCCGCAAUGGACGAAAGUCUGACGGAGCAACGCCGCGUGAGUGAAGAAAGGUUUUCGGAUCGUAAAACUCUGUUGUCAGAGAAGAACAAGUUGGAGAGUAACUGCUCCAGCCUUGACGGUAUCUGACCAGAAAGCCACGGCUAACUACGUGCCAGCCGCAGC